RNAcentral lists this ribosomal RNA (253 nucleotides) under uncultured bacterium. Its description in RNAcentral is "partial 16S ribosomal RNA". It matches the Rfam family "Bacterial small subunit ribosomal RNA", at positions 524 to 776 of the family's 1533-position model. The record is from RNAcentral.
UACGGAGGGGGCUAGCGUUGUUCGGAAUUACUGGGCGUAAAGCGCACGUAGGCGGCUUUGUAAGUUAGAGGUGAAAGCCCAGGGCUCAACCCUGGAAUUGCCUUUAAGACUGCAUCGCUUGAACGCGGGAGAGGUGAGUGGAAUUCCGAGUGUAGAGGUGAAAUUCGUAGAUAUUCGGAAGAACACCAGUGGCGAAGGCGGCUCACUGGACCGUUGUUGACGCUGAGGUGCGAAAGCGUGGGGAGCAAACAGG